This 439-nucleotide ribosomal RNA is filed under the name uncultured bacterium. RNAcentral describes it as "partial 16S ribosomal RNA". It matches the Rfam family "Bacterial small subunit ribosomal RNA", at positions 339 to 795 of the family's 1533-position model. The record is from RNAcentral.
CUACGGGUGGCACCAGUGGGGAAUAUUGCACAAUGGAGGAAACUCUGAUGCAGCAACGCCGCGUGGAGGAUGACACUUUUCGGAGCGUAAACUCCUUUUAUAUAGGAAGAAGAUGACGGUACUAUAUGAAUAAGCGCCGGCUAACUCCGUGCCAGCAGCCGCGGUAAUACGGAGAGCGCAAGCGUUACUCGGAAUCACUGGGCGUAAAGAGCGUGUAGGCGGAUUAAAAAGUCAGAAGUGAAAUCCUAUAGCUUAACUAUAGAACUGCUUCUGAAACUCUUAAUCUAGAAUAUGGGAGAGGUAGAUGGAAUUUCUGGUGUAGGGGUAACAUCCGUAGAGAUCAGAAGGAAUACCGAUUGCGAAGGCGAUCUACUAGAACAUUAUUGACGCUGAGACGCGAAAGCGUGGGGAGCAAACAGGAUUAGAUACCCUGGUAGUC